UACGAACUGUGCAAACGUUAUUCGGAAUCACUGGGCUUACAGGGUGCGUAGGCGGCUUGUUAAGUAGGGUGUGAAAGCCCCCGGCUCAACCGGGGAAUUGCGCCCUAAACUGGCGAGCUGGAGUGAGAUAGGGGUGUGUGGAACUUCCGGUGGAGCGGUGAAAUGUGUUGAUAUCGGAAGGAACGCCGGUAGCGAAAGCGACACACUGGGUCUUGACUGACGCUGAGGCACGAAAGCCAGGGGAGCGAACGGG
RNAcentral lists this ribosomal RNA (253 nucleotides) under uncultured bacterium. RNAcentral's name for it is "partial 16S ribosomal RNA". It matches the Rfam family "Bacterial small subunit ribosomal RNA", at positions 524 to 776 of the family's 1533-position model. The record is from RNAcentral.